Molecule: long non-coding RNA, 1562 nt
Filed under: Homo sapiens (human)
Lineage: Eukaryota; Metazoa; Chordata; Mammalia; Primates; Hominidae
Description: HSALNT0015771
Source: RNAcentral
GAAAUCAAAGGAGAACUAAACGCUGGAUCUUCAGUACACGGGAAGGGUAGGAUUCACUCCCAGAGGUCGAAGAACAGAGAGGAGAGAAUUCUCCCACAUGCCCCACCCUUCUGGGGCCUUCCUGACCCCACUCUGCCCUCCUCCUAGCUCCGCCUCUGCCAGCUACUUUGGGGGACUAGGUUGGGAUUCUCCACUUUUACCGAAGGCCUUCCAUGUGUCUAACUGCAGUUCUCUCUGUUGCAAGUUAAGCCGGAACUGAAAGACCAGAAACCAGCCUGCCCUAGUCAAAGAAAGUUAGGGCCCAACCAGCCUCUCCCCAAGAAGCAGGGUAAGGUGGGGCAUUCAUCUCUCUGGACCCUUUUCCCCAGCCUGAGCCAGCCUUUGGGGGUAGGGAGGAGGUCCCAGGGAAGAACCUGGUUGCCAAAGUCUCGGCCAGUUGGAGAAGAGAUGGGUCUCCCGAGGAUACCCAAGCCCAAGCUCUACACUGUCCCAAGCCUCAACUCCCGACCCAUGGCCUGUGGUGAGAGGUGCUAACAACAUGACCUGCUUUCAUCUUGACCUUCCCAGCCCACCCAGAGAAAAGGGAAUCUUGGCUAAAAAAAGGCUGGAAGAGGGGAGAACCCUGGCACUGCGGGUGGGGCUGGGAGGAGCCCAGGCAACCUUACUGGUGAGAAUCUCAUGGCUCUUCAAGGUGAAUAUGAUGAUGAUUUCCCUGGGGUUUCUUUCAAUACUCAGAAGCCGCCCCGAGUUGGAAAGCACAUGCAUACUUGGGGAGGCCAGGGGAGGAAAAGGGGGGCGGCUCACUCUGACAGUAAAUGAAGAAAGUGGAAACAAAUUCAAGGAGCAGGCAGAGCUCCCGGUUUCACCAGAGCCCAACGGUUGGUAAUAAGGAUGAGAACAAUGUGCCUUCACUUCCUGGGAUCAGAACAGCACAUGGCCGCACAUGUACGGGUAUGCAUGUGCUUCCAUAAUCAUAUACUUUCCCAGCUUCUACUCUGCCUGUGGUCUAAUUUCAACUCCUUCAGCUGCUGUACCCACCCAUAAAAUUAUGAGUGUAAAAGCACUUUGCAAACCCUGAUACUCUAUGAAGAAGUAAAAAGUAGUGCUGUAAUUAUUAUCAUUAUUAUGUCCAAUGGUUGAGGUUUCCGCUGCCCACCUGUCAGCUAUGUGAGGCCUAAAGAGAGGGAGGGCUAGGCCAUUCCUCAGCUUCUGAGGUUCCUGGCCCUUUUCCCCUUCCAUCUGUCCACAGCUGACUGCUAAGCUGGAUGCGUAGGGGAAAGCAGAGAAAAGGUGAUUUACUGGGACACAGAGACACAGGCUGGAAGAGAUAGCAUGUGUUUCCUUAAAAUUUGAAGCAUUUGGCUGGGCACAGUGGCUCACACCUGUAAUCCCUGCACUUUGGGAGGUAAAGGCAAGAGGAUUUCCUGGGCCCAAGAGUUAGAGGCUGCAGUGAGCUAUGAUUGUGCCAUUGUACUCCAGCCUGGGAGACAGAAACCCCCUCUCUUAAAAAAAUAAAAAAAUAAAAAAUGGAACCAUUGCUCUGAGUUUCUAAUAGGGGGAGU